AUUGCUUCUCUGCCUUUUGGCUCAGAUUAGUGUAGGAUCUGUUCUUAACAGCUUAAAAUGGUGAUGAUGAUGGUGUCAUUUUAAUACAGUUGUGCCCAAACAUUUUACCAAAGAUUAUUAUAUAAAUAUUCAUGUUCAAACUGUUAUAACAGUGUGUCAUGUAUUUUGGAGAAGGCAAUGGCCACCCACUCCAGGACUCUU
The sequence is a small nuclear RNA, 201 nucleotides long. Its record names the gene U2. It matches the Rfam family "U2 spliceosomal RNA". Rfam says of the family: U2 is a small nuclear RNA (snRNA) component of the spliceosome (involved in pre-mRNA splicing). The record is from Ensembl.